This 515-nucleotide long non-coding RNA is filed under the name Panax ginseng (ginseng). Its description in RNAcentral is "long non-coding RNA (PGIN_LNC014682)". The record is from RNAcentral. Lineage: Eukaryota; Viridiplantae; Streptophyta; Magnoliopsida; Apiales; Araliaceae.
AUGAUGUUUAUAACCUUGUUAGGGCAAAGCAUGAAGUACUCUAGGUAAAUGUACAACAUUUUUCUUUUGUUUAUUAGCUUUUUCUCCUUGGUCUCUAAUGGUAUUUGAUCAUUGUUUGAAUUGGAAUACAUUUCAUGAUCUGAUGUUUACAUGUUGUUUAAGCUUUAAUGUAAAACUCGAUGUAUGCUUUGCUAACUUAAAUUGAAAUAAUAAAAACUUAAAACGAAUUUGGUCAUAUUUUCUUAGAAUCUUUAUUAAUUAAUGUCUAUUAAACGUGUGACAGUUUCAAAGUUGAAUUUUUUAGCUAACCUUCAAUAUUGGAGGCAGAAGCUGGGCCGUUUGAGUUAUUAGUAUCAUUUCACCAAUCAAGAAAUGAGUUUUAGGCACUAAGCCCAAUUCUUUGGGUUAACCAACAUAAUAUUUUGGCACAUUAAAUUUUUGUUAAGGCUAGAUUUUACAGUAGGGUAGCCAAGCUGAAAAUUUGGGAUAAGCUGCUUGGAGCCAAUGAAGCCAGU